AUCGCAUCACCGACCACGACAUUGCACCUUUCAAAGCUCAAGUUGCCAAGCUUCUGCCUCCGAGUGUUGUGCACAUGUCUUCACCAGAAGAGUGGGUUGCAGCUGUCGUUCAAGACUGGGAUAAAUCAGCGAAGCGCUUGUCACCAGAUGCUGCCCGGAGACGCUACCUGAAUGAGGCAAUGAAGUUCUCAUUGUACGGUUCCUGCUUCUUUCCCAUCAAACACUGUUCGGAUGUAAACAUUCGCGGUGAAUGCCUGAUGGCCUUCAGCAAGACAGGAGUUCAUUUCCUCAGCCACA
Sycon ciliatum is the source of this 297-nucleotide long non-coding RNA. RefSeq lists it as uncharacterized. The record is from RefSeq and is a predicted model, not a curated record. Lineage: Eukaryota; Metazoa; Porifera; Calcarea; Leucosolenida; Sycettidae. The transcript has 3 exons.